ACUUACAAUCAUAUCAACACUAGUGCACCAAACCUCAUAAGAACUCUUCAGUUAAGUGUGUUUAAGCGAGGGCAGUACUAAAAUAGGUGAUCUCAUAUGAAGUUCAUGUGUUGUAACUCU
Molecule: non-coding RNA, 120 nt
Organism: Lupinus albus (white lupine)
Lineage: Eukaryota; Viridiplantae; Streptophyta; Magnoliopsida; Fabales; Fabaceae
Source: the annotation of a GenBank genome assembly